RNAcentral lists this ribosomal RNA (279 nucleotides) under uncultured bacterium. RNAcentral's name for it is "partial 16S ribosomal RNA". It matches the Rfam family "Bacterial small subunit ribosomal RNA", at positions 506 to 784 of the family's 1533-position model. The record is from RNAcentral.
UGCCAGCAGCCGCGGUAAUACGGAGGGUGCGAGCGUUAAUCGGAUUUACUGGGCGUAAAGGGUGUGCAGGUGGUUAUAUAAGUCGAAUGUGAAAGACCUGGGCUUAACUUAGGAAUUGCAUUCGAUACUGUAUGACUAGAGUAUGGUAGAGGAAAGCGGAAUUUCCGGUGUAGCGGUGAAAUGCGUAGAUAUCGGAAGGAACACCAGUGGCGAAGGCGGCUUUCUGGACCAAUACUGACACUGAGACACGAAAGCGUGGGGAGCAAACCGGAUUAGAUA